GAAGCAGUCGGUCAAGUGGCGGAGCUGAAUGAUCUACAAGCUGUGGGACUGUUUCAGAACGGGCUGGAUCUGGUCAAGUCAGAAAAGUUGGUGAAAAAACUUAUGUUUAACCACCCGAAGAGUCUGGCCGAAGCCUUUGAUAAAGCUGAAGGCUAUAUCGUAGUGGAAGAAGCCAUGAGUAGCCUCAAGCGUCCUUCUUUAGAUCGGUCCAGAGAUACGGAUCGGGACAAAACUGAUGAAGACCAAAAGAAGAGUGAAGGACACAAAGACCGUCAUGAAGGUGGGUCGAAAAGGUAUAACAAUUGGAGGCAGGGUGGAGGACGUU
Molecule: long non-coding RNA, 325 nt
Filed under: Panax ginseng (ginseng)
Lineage: Eukaryota; Viridiplantae; Streptophyta; Magnoliopsida; Apiales; Araliaceae
Description: long non-coding RNA (PGIN_LNC011005)
Source: RNAcentral